RNAcentral lists this ribosomal RNA (202 nucleotides) under uncultured Bacillus sp. Its description in RNAcentral is "partial 16S ribosomal RNA". It matches the Rfam family "Bacterial small subunit ribosomal RNA", at positions 1181 to 1382 of the family's 1533-position model. Lineage: Bacteria; Bacillati; Bacillota; Bacilli; Caryophanales; Bacillaceae. The record is from RNAcentral.
GACGUCAAAUCAUCAUGCCCCUUAUGUUCUGGCUACACACGUGCUACAAUGGCCGGUACAGACGGACGCAAAGCCGCGAGGUGGAGCAAAUCCUAAAAAGCCGGUCUCAGUUCGGAUUGCAGGGCUGCAAUUCGCCUGCAUGAAGUCGGAAUCGCUAGUAAUCGCAGGUCAGCAUACUGCGGUGAAUACGUUCCCGGGCCUU